GCCGGGCGCAGUGGCCCACGCCUGUCAUCCCAGCGGCUCGGGAGGCUGAGGCAGGAGGAUCGCCAGGUGGAGGCCAGCCUCAGCCACUUAGCGAGGCCCUGUCUCUA
RNAcentral lists this small RNA (107 nucleotides) under Marmota monax (woodchuck). The record is from RNAcentral. Lineage: Eukaryota; Metazoa; Chordata; Mammalia; Rodentia; Sciuridae.